GUACACUGAAGGAGCACAUAUACUAAAAUUGGAAUGAUACAGAGAAGAUUAGCAUGGCCCCUUUUAAGAGAAAAAAAUUUAAAAAUAUAUAUAUACAAUUUUU
Colobus angolensis palliatus is the source of this 103-nucleotide small nuclear RNA. Lineage: Eukaryota; Metazoa; Chordata; Mammalia; Primates; Cercopithecidae. The record is from Ensembl.